AUGCUGGCAGCAGAUCAGGGCAGGCCAGACCCCGCCAAGCCCAGGGGGACGUGCCCGCGGGGCUGCAGCAAGUGCCUGAGGCCGGCAGCCCCCAGACAGCCCACGCCAGCGGUGGGACCCUGGGCAGGCACCCACAGAGCGCUGCCGGGACACGGGCACCGGCCAGGGCACGGUGACAAAGCCGUGCACGCGACAGGCUGCAGGGUGCCCAGGAACUGCAGCACGCGGUCUCCAGCCCGUCCCAGGCCAAGGCUGCGGAGCAGAGGGCUGGGGGCAGCGCUGUGGGACAGCGGCCGAGCCCGCCCGCGCUGCGGGAGCACCCGGCGCCGUGCCAGGAGCUGCCAGGCUCUGCAGCUACGCAUUGGGAAUACUGAUGAGGCUGAGCCCGCAUCGCAGCCCACGGGGGCUGUGGGGCGUGCGGCACCACGGCCCCCGCAGCCCCGCGGCACAGCCCGCCCGGCCGCACGCAGCCCCACGCACGUCACAGCAGCCGGCAGCCGGCACACGGGGCUGGGGGGGCCAGGCCCUGCCUGCUCACCCCGCAGGGCUGGAGCAGAUCCGUCCUCUGCCCCAGGGGUGGGGGGCAGAAAGCGGCUGUCACGUUUCUCCCCAAAGCCUGGGGACACCCACAGCUCCGACCCGGCCGCAGCGGGGGCUCUGGGGGACCGGCUCGUGCACCCGGCACAGCCAGAGACAGCAGAUCGCACCAGCCUGGCCAGCCCUGCCCGGCCACCGCCGCCUAUCCACAGACAGCCCUCCUCCAUCUGCAGAACACCCACCCUGCAGGCUCCCGGGGUCUCAGACCUGGAGAAACCGCUCAUUCCUCCAAGCCUGAGCUCCCGCUCUGUGUCACAAAGCCCCCGCUUGCUGCCCUCGCUGCUGGCUGCGGCACAAGCGCAGGGGAGCGCCCCUCGCCCCGACCACCCGCGCCGCACCGCCACAGCCCCACACCGCCGGUCUGACCCCGCUGCCUGGCUGCUGACAGCCUCUCCGAGGGAGCGGCGCUCAGACCAGCCUCUGGGCCACAGCCUCCGUGGGGCGGGAGGAAGGAGAGAAGCGCUGCACCCCGGCCACCGAGCGGUUAGCAGCAGCCAGGAAGGAAGCAGAGCACGGAGCUGGAGCCGACUGCAGCUCCCUGCCUCCUCCCACACGCGCCCGCCCGCACGCCCGCGGCCGUCCUGCUGCAAACCUCCGCGGCUGACGAGGAAAUUGCCGCUCUCUCCCCCAGGGACGUGCGGUGCUGAGGCGAGCCACCUCCGUCCGCGCGCCGCGAGGCCGCGCCGGCGUCACCCGCCGCCCUCGGAGAGAAACCCCCAGCCCCACGCAGCCCCUGCCCACUCAGCGGCACUGAGCCCCGGUGCCGCCGCCACGCGGGGGAUGCCGAGGCCGAGCUUCCCGGGGCGGCCUGGCCGAGCUCACCUGGGGAUGGCACCCCCGGGCACGGCGGGGGAGCGAGCCGCCAUCGCUUCUGCUCCUCGAUGCCCUGCCCGGCCCUGCUGGCGCGGGCCGGUAGCGGCAGUGCGCGGCCGGCCGGCACCAGGCGGGGGGCAGACGGCACCACGCCGAGGGCCGCACGCCGGGCAGCUCCCCAGGCGUGCACAGCCCGACACGCUCCUCGCCCGCCCCGCAGGAGAUGCUCCAGCGAUGGCUGCAGGCAAGAGCAGGCGCGAUGCGAUGAGGCCAGACGUUGUGAAAUCUCCUCGGCGUUUUGAAAUCCAAAGAGAGGAGCCGAUGUGA
RNAcentral lists this long non-coding RNA (1737 nucleotides) under Anser cygnoides (Swan goose). Its description in RNAcentral is "lncRNA (ENSACDG00005009604.1)". The record is from RNAcentral. Lineage: Eukaryota; Metazoa; Chordata; Aves; Anseriformes; Anatidae.